This 514-nucleotide ribosomal RNA is filed under the name uncultured bacterium. RNAcentral describes it as "bacterial SSU rRNA". It matches the Rfam family "Bacterial small subunit ribosomal RNA", at positions 40 to 507 of the family's 1533-position model. The record is from RNAcentral.
CGGGCGUGCCUAAUACAUGCAAGUCGAACGCAUUGUGGUUGAAAUGAUAUGAAGAACUUGUUCAGAUUUGAUUUUCAACAUUGCAAUGAGUGGCGAACGGGUGAGUAACACGUGGGAAACCUACCUCUUAGCAGGGGAUAACAUUUGGAAACAAAUGCUAAUACCGUAUAAUAAUUAAAACCGCAUGGUUUUAGUUUAAAAGAUGGUCUUGCUAUCACUAAGAGAUGGUCCCGCGGUGUAUUAGUUAGUUGGUGAGGUAAUGGCUCACCAAGACAAUGAUACAUAGCCGAGUUGAGAGACUGACCGGCCACAAUGGGACUGAGACACGGCCCAUACUCCUACGGGAGGCAGCAGUAGGGAAUCUUCCACAAUGGACGAAAGUCUGAUGGAGCAACGCCGCGUGUGUGAUGAAGGGUUUCGGCUCGUAAAACACUGUUGUAAGAGAAGAAUGACAUUGAGAGUAACUGUUCAAUGUGUGACGGUAUCUUACCAGAAAGGAACGGCUAAAUACGUG